This is a long non-coding RNA of Anser cygnoides (Swan goose), 1608 nucleotides long. NCBI's taxonomy places the organism in Eukaryota, Metazoa, Chordata, Aves, Anseriformes, Anatidae. The record is from Ensembl.
AUGCAUAAACUUUGUGAGGGAAAGGUAAGCACAUUUAAUGAGCUCAGUUCACUCCUGGGUCACGCCAGGAGCAGAAGGACAAGACUUCCAUCACUGGAAAGACCACCCAGAGAGGAGGAAGCUGUGCUUGCCCAGGAAGGAGGAAAAGCAAGAAGAUCCCAAUGGUUUUCCUUCAGAGCCCAAGCCAUGACUACCAGCUGCCUCCACAGCAGAAGUCGAGGGGCCCCAACCAUGGAGAAGGGGCCUGUUUCUUUUCAGCAUAAGUGCCACCAGAGCCUUGGAAUGGAGCAAGUACGGGCAGCAAGCAUUUCCCACUGGAUUCCAUCAAAAUGAGCUUGGUUAUUAAAUAAGAGGUCUCUGCUAUGCUAUCUGGCUUUCACUGGGGCACACCAAGAGGUGCUGACUGCUACCAAAGCAGAGGUAUGCCUGCCACCCGUGGAGGAGAGCUGGGAUGGGUGGGCAGCACGACAUGAGAGCUGACCUCUGCGCUCACUCAACAUGAUCUCAGAAAUCAGAGAAAAAUAUCUAACGAACGGCUUUUCCCUGCUUGUUCCCAAAAGCCAGGAAAUGACAGCAGUUGCACCACAAUUUGCUCUUGUGGAAAAGUGGGAUAGAAUUUUGGAAUUUCUCCUAGACUUCCAGGGAAAGAAAAUGCAAAAUGGUCUUUGAAUUAUCUUUUUUUUUUUUUUUUUUAAACUUUGAUAAAGAAAUGUGGCAUAAUUUAAAGUUUUUUUUUUUUUAUCUAUUGUUUAAAAAUACACGCAGAAGAUAAAGGUUGAUCCCAAGAAAUAUUCAAACUGAUGCAACUUAGUUGUGACACCCUUGACAGAGCUGUAGUAUACAGCAUUCAGUAUUUUUAGCUGCACAAAGUAGAUUAAUAAUUUGUUUCAUUGGUGCUGUUUAGAGAAACAAUGCCUCUGGGUCAGUAGUGCACAGAUUCCUUGGAUAAGCCUUGAAAGGGAAGAAUUAGGGUGGUGUUAGCCAAGAAAGUAAACCAGUGACAGAAUUCUGUGUACUGUUGGAAAUCGUUGAAAGUGCAAAAGACUAUAUUUUUUGUUUGAUGUGGAAAAACUGACUGUACGUGUUCUGGAAGAAAACUCAAAAUAUUGUGUGCAUUAAUUUAUAUGUUGUUUCUCUUGAAGCAUACCAGAAAUCAUCUGGGGGCAAACACUGAUCAGUCCGUUGUUUCUUUCUCUCUUGCCUUUCAGCAAAAAUGAAUAUAUUUCACAUCAUAAUGAGGGUUUCUGGCUGAAACUCCUAGAUAAUGGUCAAAAGGCUGCAAAGGUCAAAGAAGAACUUAUUUCUGUACCCAUUUAUCAAAAUGAAAAAAAAAAAAAAAGGAAGAAAUGGAAGUGUAAGAUUUAGGUAGAUCACUUCCCGGAUGUUGGAUUCACAACUUAUAUCCAGGUGAUUUUCAGUUUAGGAGGAAGCAGAAAGCAGCUGGUCUUGGGUGCAUAACACAACACAGGAAAUUUGCUUGGACUUUGAAAUAUAUGCAUGAAUUUCUCAUAAAAUCCAUGAGAGCUAUUAGAAGCCAACAUCUGCAGGAAUGUUCCAUUGAUGGAUCAAGAAAAUAAAGGGAAGUAGAAGCAAUGAGGUGAAAAAAGC